Molecule: long non-coding RNA, 223 nt
Filed under: Elaeis guineensis (African oil palm)
Lineage: Eukaryota; Viridiplantae; Streptophyta; Magnoliopsida; Arecales; Arecaceae
Description: long non-coding RNA (EGUI_LNC061109)
Source: RNAcentral
CACCUUAUAGAUUUUAUCCCUUUAGGUGGAUCAACUAGUGUCCAUACACCAAUGAUCUCCAUGGACUCCAUUUCGAAUGGUAUGGCAUCAAGCCAUUUGUCAGAGUCGGAUCUCUGCAUGGCAUCCAUGUAGGUGAUCGGAUCCUCAUCAUUCUCAUCUAGUUAAACAGGAUCACCAUCCCAGAUUAAGAAAUCAUAGUAUCUACCUGACUGAUGUAGUACUC